Molecule: non-coding RNA, 46 nt
Filed under: Schistosoma bovis
Lineage: Eukaryota; Metazoa; Platyhelminthes; Trematoda; Strigeidida; Schistosomatidae
Also listed under: 1 other name
Source: RNAcentral
GCACUACUGAGGAGUCCCACAAUAGGACGAAACAGCUGCCCAGUGC